RNAcentral lists this ribosomal RNA (207 nucleotides) under uncultured bacterium. Its description in RNAcentral is "partial 16S ribosomal RNA". It matches the Rfam family "Bacterial small subunit ribosomal RNA", at positions 568 to 774 of the family's 1533-position model. The record is from RNAcentral.
AGCGCAGGCGGACCGGCAAGUUGGAAGUGAAAGCUAUGGGCUCAACCCAUAAAUUGCUUUCAAAACUGCUGGCCUUGAGUAGUGCAGAGGUAGGUGGAAUUCCCGGUGUAGCGGUGGAAUGCGUAGAUAUCGGGAGGAACACCAGUGGCGAAGGCGACCUACUGGGCACCAACUGACGCUGAGGCUCGAAAGCAUGGGUAGCAAACA